Non-coding RNA from Paenibacillus sp. Y412MC10, 126 nucleotides. Lineage: Bacteria; Bacillati; Bacillota; Bacilli; Caryophanales; Paenibacillaceae. The record is from Rfam.
GAGGCGGUAUCGCCAUGAGCGAAUUGCACUCUGCAGCAAGUGGGAAUUAUGAUUUAGAACACCUUCAUAACUGUUAUGCCGGUUACGUUGGAUUCUGCUCUGAGCCGAAAGGACCGAGACAGAAGG